RNAcentral lists this unclassified non-coding RNA (361 nucleotides) under uncultured bacterium. RNAcentral describes it as "contains 16S-23S intergenic spacer region". The record is from RNAcentral.
UCCUUCUUACGAAGGCAGUCUCGUGUGACACUUAUAACACACAAUAAGGGUUGCGCUCGUUAAUCCACUUAAGGAUACCAUUCACAUGACGAGCUGACGACAGCCGUGCAGCACCUGUCCAAGAGUCUUGCGAGGUCCCUCGUUUCUGAGGGAUUACACUUGGAUUUCAAGCCUUGGUGAGGUUCUUCGCUUAGAGUCGAAUUAAACCACAUGAUCCACCGCUUGUGCAAAUUCCCGCCUAUUUCUUUGAGUUUUAAGCUUGCGCUCGUACUUCCCAGGCGGCAGACUUAACGCGUUAGCUUCGCCACCGGAAGGGUCGAUGCUCCCAAUGGCUAGUCUGCAUAGUUUAGGGCGUGGAAUA